GACGAACGCUGGCGGCGUGCUUAACACAUGCAAGUCGAACGGAAAGGCCCUGCUUUUGUGGGGUGCUCGAGUGGCGAACGGGUGAGUAACACGUGAGUAACCUGCCCUUGACUUUGGGAUAACUUCAGGAAACUGGGGCUAAUACCGGAUAGGAGCUCCUGCUGCAUGGUGGGGGUUGGAAAGUUUCGGCGGUUGGGGAUGGACUCGCGGCUUAUCAGCUUGUUGGUGGGGUAGUGGCUUACCAAGGCUUUGACGGGUAGCCGGCCUGAGAGGGUGACCGGCCACAUUGGGACUGAGAUACGGCCCAGACUCCUACAGGAGGCAGCAGUGUGGAAUAUUACACAAUGGGCGGAAGCCUGAUGCAGCAACGCCGCGUGCGGGAUGACGGCCUUCGGGUUGUAAACCGCUUUCGCCUGUGACGAAGCGUGAGUGACGGUAAUGGGUAAAGAAGCACCGGCUAACUACGUG
This 468-nucleotide ribosomal RNA is filed under the name uncultured bacterium. RNAcentral's name for it is "partial 16S ribosomal RNA". It matches the Rfam family "Bacterial small subunit ribosomal RNA", at positions 28 to 507 of the family's 1533-position model. The record is from RNAcentral.